Molecule: ribosomal RNA, 392 nt
Filed under: Ehrlichia ewingii
Lineage: Bacteria; Pseudomonadati; Pseudomonadota; Alphaproteobacteria; Rickettsiales; Anaplasmataceae
Description: bacterial SSU rRNA
Rfam family: Bacterial small subunit ribosomal RNA
Source: RNAcentral
CAAUUCCUAAAUAGUCUCUGACUAUUUAGAUAGUUGUUAGUGGCAGACGGGUGAGUAAUGCGUAGGAAUCUACCUAGUAGUAUGGAAUAGCCAUUAGAAAUGAUGGGUAAUACUGUAUAAUCCCUGCGGGGGAAAGAUUUAUCGCUAUUAGAUGAGCCUACGUUAGAUUAGCUAGUUGGUAAGGUAAUGGCUUACCAAGGCUAUGAUCUAUAGCUGGUCUGAGAGGACGAUCAGCCACACUGGAACUGAGAUACGGUCCAGACUCCUACGGGAGGCAGCAGUGGGGAAUAUUGGACAAUGGGCGAAAGCCUGAUCCAGCUAUGCCGCGUGAGUGAAGAAGGCCUUCGGGUUGUAAAGCUCUUUCAAUAGGGAAGAUAAUGACGGUACCUAUA